AUUAGUGGGGGACAACAUCUCGAAAGGGAUGCUAAUACCGCAUACGUCCUACGGGAGAAAGCAGGGGACCUUCGGGCCUUGCGCUAAUAGAUGAGCCUAAGUCGGAUUAGCUAGUUGGUGGGGUAAAGGCCUACCAAGGCGACGAUCUGUAGCGGGUCUGAGAGGAUGAUCCGCCACACUGGGACUGAGACACGGCCCAGACUCCUACGGGAGGCAGCAGUGGGGAAUAUUGGACAAUGGGGGGAACCCGGAACCAGCCAUGCCGCGUGUGUGAAGAAGGCCUUUUGGUUGUAAAGCACUUUAAG
RNAcentral lists this ribosomal RNA (305 nucleotides) under uncultured Acinetobacter sp. RNAcentral describes it as "bacterial SSU rRNA". It matches the Rfam family "Bacterial small subunit ribosomal RNA", at positions 132 to 439 of the family's 1533-position model. Lineage: Bacteria; Pseudomonadati; Pseudomonadota; Gammaproteobacteria; Moraxellales; Moraxellaceae. The record is from RNAcentral.